AACAACAUGCCUAUCGAGUGAACCCUGAAAAGAGAGAGAAGAUCUGCAGUGAGGUGGAAAGUUACUUCGGAAAUUCCAGGAGUUUCCUCUUGAAAUGUCCGUGAUGAGGACAACAUGGUUUCUGAUUGUCCCAAGGGUGUGCAUUCAACAAAUUUUGCAUUUAGCCAGUGCGUUGCCAUGGAUUACAAUUUAUUUUGACUGUACGUUUUUCGGUAUUGGAGAGAGUUUUGGGGCUCGUUCCAAGGGGGCGAUAGUUCUAGAAGCUAGUGAGUUUUAAGUUGUUGUCUGUUGGUGGUAAGCAUUCUCUUAGGGGGGAAGGUGUUACAGUCUUUGGUUUUUCCAUUUAUGUUUUGAGGUGGACACCAAGGAACUUGAAACUCUCGACUCGCUCCACUACAGCCCCGUUGAUGUUAAUGGGGACCUGUUCGGCCCUGCUUUUCCUGUAGUCCACGAUCAUCUCCUCUGUCUUGCUCACAUUGAGGGAGAGGAAGUGCCAGGUCUCUGACCUCCUCCCUGUAGGCUGUCAGGGAGAGUUUUAAAAUGUCAGUGAAGACACUUGCCAAUUGGUCCGUGCAUGCUCUGGGUACAUGCCCUGGUAAUCAGUAUGUCCUAGCGGCGUUGUGAAUGUUGACCUGUUUAAAUGUCUUGCUUUGGAGAGUGUGAUCACACACGUCCGGAACACCUCAAUCAUGCUUCAGAGUUGCUUGCCUCAAAGCAAAAAAGGCAUUUAUGUCGUCUGGAAGCUCGUCUCCACCUUUUCUUCAGGUGAAUGACAGGGAUUUGGGCCUGAUCUCCUGAAAGCAGUAUAUACUUCGUGUCAGACUCGUUAAAGAAAAAAUAUUUGUCAAGUUUGAGGUGACUAAUCACUGUUCUGAUGUCCAGAAGCUCUACCAUGCGAACAAGUUCCCACUAGAGAACACAAUCACAUGCUGCAUGAGGUGUGGCUAACGUUAGCAAGCUUGAGCUAGAUACCAAGCUAGCAUACAAACUCGGUAGAAAUAGUGCAUUGUGGGUAAUGAGAAGAUAUCCAGAAAUAAGUUAAGAAAUAUUUAAUAAAGCAAAAACAUAACUGUUUGUCCUUAUAGGUAACCAGAUCUUCAAUACAACUAAGUUACUAAGUCUUUAAACACACUGUGUUACACUGGUGAGUAAAAACUCAUGCUUCCUACACUAACUUGUAGUCUGAAAAUAAAAUGUAAAUUUUACUCAACUGCGUCCAGUCAGUAGAUGGACUAGGUGCCGCUUAGGCCGCCCGUUGUGACUCCGUCAAGAAUUCAGCAGUGCGAGUUUGUAUGAAGGUCUGGUUAUUAAAUGGGAUCAUAGUUCAAUAGUAAUAUCCUCCAAAACGCUCUGGUGACAAACGUUGCUGCCCUGUUUCCAGUUGUCCACAUGGCUGGGAGAACCUAUUCAAGUAAGUAAGUAAAUAGGUUUUGGAAAUGUAAAAAAACACAAUGUAUUAUUAACUAACUAGCUACAGUGCAGGCUAACCCAAAUGAGCUGCUAAAUGAGUUGCUAAAUGAGCUAUCUAACUAACUUCAAAUACUGUGUAGAUAGAUAGCUAAGUGAAUGAAAUAUCACCAGCUACCUAACUUCAUAUUAGCUAGUUAUCUUGAUGUAUUUAUCACUUUAAAAAACAAACUCCAAAUGCAUUUGUAGGUAGCUAGCUAACAGCCAUGGAGGGUGAAAGGAUAGCAGCACCAACGGUCAGUGAGAGAGGAUGUUAUUCUGGAAAGGGCGGGUACUUUUGUGUUGGUCCUGUCCCUAGAAGUGAGGAUGGAGAUAAUGCUAACAUAAUAUUCAGUGUGUUGUAAUUUGACUACAAUGAAGUUUCUUGUGAGGUUUUCUGCCCUCAGAUAAAGAGCUCUACGAAAGCCAGUUUACUUAUGAAGAGGUGCCAAUGAAGAGCAGUGGUCCUCAGUCCUGGGGACUCAGAGGGGCACAUUGUUGUUUUUGCCUCAGCACUGCACAGCUGAUUCAAAUGAUCAACUCAUCAUCAAGCUUCAAGUGAUACCUUGUAACUGGAGAUUCCUUCAAAACGAUUACCUACGGUUACCAGGUAGGGCACUGCAAUGUUGGGUAACCAGGGUCAUCUGGGACUGCCUCCUGGAGGAAUUCAGGUGUGUGAAGGCUACCUGUGUCCUGCGUAACUUCAUGAGGAUGGACACAAGGACCGGGAGGGGAUCUGCAGCUCGCCACCAUGUGCCAAAGGAGGAGUCUGCUGCUCUGCAGGAUGUUUCAAGGAUGGGGUCCAACAACGCAGCAAGAGAGGCAACCCAGGUUAUAUCAGCUGUGCCGGUGAACCCCUCCUGCAUCUGAACUGGCUACAUGGGGUCAACAGGAAGUAUUAUUAAAGAGAUGCUUUACAUUGAAAUACAGAUAGAUGCAGUAGUCCCAGAGUUAAUGAUCCAAGAUAUGUUUUGAUGUGAGAGGAUGCCAACCCCCAGUCUCAUCAUCGCCACCUCACCUGCUUUUAAGAUGACCUUUUGGCUGACUAGAGACACUAUUAUGUAAUUGUGAUGAACUGAGAGAAUAUUUAUGUAGCACUGUGAUUAAUUAAUCAUGUGCUGCCUUCCCUGCUCCUAUGUGUUUACCUCUUUCCCUUUCUGUCUUCUACAUCUCUCUCUCCACCUCCUCUUUCUUCCUCUGUUUUUAUAAUGCACAACAUCUGUGCAUUGAAGUACAGAUUGAACUUGUAUUUAUAACACUUGGAUAAUGAGCUUUUCAAUAAAGUGUUUC
Oncorhynchus keta (chum salmon) is the source of this 2736-nucleotide long non-coding RNA. RefSeq lists it as uncharacterized. The record is from RefSeq and is a predicted model, not a curated record. The transcript is spliced from 4 exons. NCBI's taxonomy places the organism in Eukaryota, Metazoa, Chordata, Actinopteri, Salmoniformes, Salmonidae.